AUUACUUAGAAUAAGGCAUGGCUGGGAUCAGUGCAGUCCUUGUACGACGAAACUGCGAAUGGCUCAUUAAAACAGUUAUCGUUCAUUUGGUAAUCAUCUACUACAAGGAUAACUGUAGUAAUUCUAGAGCUAAUACUUGCGUUUUCCCGACUUCUCGGAAGGGAUUGCAUUUAUUAGAUACAAACCAAUCCGUGGUUUACCACUGCUAUAUGGUGAUUCAUAAUAACUAACCGAAUCGCAUGGGCUCGCCCGGCGAUAGACCUUUCCAGUUUCUGAUCUAUCAGCUAUUGACGGUAGGGUAUUGGCCUACCGUGGCGAUGACGGAUAAAGGGGGAUUAGGGUUCGACUCCUGAGAGGGAGCCUGACCAACGGCUACCACAUCUAAGGAUGGCAGCAGGCCCCCAAAUUACCCAAUCCUGACACAGGGAGGUAGUGACAAGAAAUAACAAUACAGGGCUUCACAGUCUUGUAAUUGGAAUGAGUAGAUUCUAAAUCUCUCU
RNAcentral lists this ribosomal RNA (500 nucleotides) under uncultured eukaryote. RNAcentral describes it as "SSU rRNA". It matches the Rfam family "Eukaryotic small subunit ribosomal RNA", at positions 34 to 536 of the family's 1831-position model. The record is from RNAcentral.